RNAcentral lists this ribosomal RNA (450 nucleotides) under uncultured bacterium. RNAcentral's name for it is "partial 16S ribosomal RNA". It matches the Rfam family "Bacterial small subunit ribosomal RNA", at positions 354 to 796 of the family's 1533-position model. The record is from RNAcentral.
GUGGGGAAUUUUGGACAAUGGGCGCAAGCCUGAUCCAGCAAUGGCGCGUGCAGGAAGAAGGCCUUCGGGUUGUAAACUGCUUUUGUACGGAACGAAACGGUCCGGGUUAAUACCCUGGGCUAAUGACGGUACCGUAAGAAUAAGCACCGGCUAACUACGUGCCAGCAGCCGCGGUAAUACGGAGGGUGCAAGCGUUAAUCGGAAUUACUGGGCGUAAAGCGUGCGCAGGCGGUUUUGUAAGACAGGCGUGAAAUCCCCGGGCUCAACGUGGGAAUUGCGCUUGUGACUGCAAGGCUGGAGUGCGGCAGAGGGGGAUGGAAUUCCGCGUGUAGCAGUGAAAUGCGUAGAUAUGCGGAGGAACACCGAUGGCGAAGGCAAUCCCCUGGGCCUGCACUGACGCUCAUGCACGAAAGCGUGGGGAGCAAACAGGAUUAGAAACCCGAGUAGUCC